UUUUUCUCUUCACAGGUUUCAGCCAAUCAGAGAGCAGCACUACUGAAAUAGAACUCCCAGGAGGAGCAGCGUGUCACACAUGUGAUGUCAUAACCAUUGACCACCAGAGAGCAGCACUGAGCAGAUAUAACACGGCUCCUGCUCAUUCUUCAUCAUUGAGGGGCCGGUGCUGGACACUGUAGGGACGCGGGAAUGUGAAGUCAAAAACAUGACUGUGACUGAUGCACUUUUUCCAGCAUGUGGAGUAGCAUUUCCGGACUUAAAGCAAGAAGUUGGAUGAUGGCCUAGAUUUCCGGACUUACAGCAAGACGUUGGAUGAAGGCCUAGAUUUCCGGACCUACAGCAAGAAGUUGGAUGAAGGCACAGCCCCUCGAAUCACGCACAUACACUGACACAUUGGCCCAAAUUCUAGAGGUAACCUCCUUUAGUAUGCCCAGAGGAAGGGCAGUACAGUAGCCAUGGAUUCCCUACAGGUUUCCUCCCCUCUGGAGGUUUUUCCUGUCCUGAGUUAGUUACUGUCCGCUCUUUGUGAGUGAUGGAGGUUACAAAAAAUCCCCUACACAAACAUUUUUGUAAAUAAUAAAUAAAGUUUC
This is a long non-coding RNA of Hyla sarda, 593 nucleotides long. RefSeq lists it as uncharacterized. The record is from RefSeq and is a predicted model, not a curated record. NCBI's taxonomy places the organism in Eukaryota, Metazoa, Chordata, Amphibia, Anura, Hylidae. The transcript is spliced from 3 exons.